This 340-nucleotide long non-coding RNA is filed under the name Homo sapiens (human). Its description in RNAcentral is "HSALNT0371727". Lineage: Eukaryota; Metazoa; Chordata; Mammalia; Primates; Hominidae. The record is from RNAcentral.
CUCAUGCCUGUAAUCCCAGCACUUUGGGAUGCCAAGAUAUUCUUAAGAGGCAGCAGAUACCCACUGGAAUCCCUCGAAGCCUGGCAGCCCCCCACGGAGCAGAGGGGGCCCUGUGCAUGAGGUCUCCUUUUCAGCCUCAAAAUCACCAACUUCUCAUCAUUAAAACUGAGAGAGAGAGAGAGAGAGAGAGAACACCAAAGCCUCACCGUGGAAACACAUGAACACGAAUGAGCAGGCUGUAGCGGAAGCAUGCCAUCUACUGCCAUCUGCUUCUGGUGAGGCCUCAGGGAGCUGCCAAUCAUGGCGGAAGGUGAAGGGGAGCCAGUGCAUCACACGGCAA